Molecule: ribosomal RNA, 493 nt
Filed under: uncultured bacterium
Lineage: Bacteria
Description: bacterial SSU rRNA
Rfam family: Bacterial small subunit ribosomal RNA
Source: RNAcentral
CACGGCCUAACACAUGCAAGUCGAACGGUAACAGGAAGCAGCAAGCUGCUUCGCUGACGAGUGGCGGACGGGUGAGUAAUGUCUGGGAAACUGCCUGAUGGAGGGGGAUAACUACUGGAAACGGUAGCUAAUACCGCAUAAUGUCGCAAGACCAAAGAGGGGGACCUUCGGGCCUCAUGCCAUCAGAUGUGCCCAGAUGGGAUUAGCUAGUAGGUGGGGUAACGGCUCACCUAGGCGACGAUCCCUAGCUGGUCUGAGAGGAUGACCAGCCACACUGGAACUGAGACACGGUCCAGACUCCUACGGGAGGCAGCAGUGGGGAAUAUUGCACAAUGGGCGCAAGCCUGAUGCAGCCAUGCCGCGUGUAUGAAGAAGGCCUUCGGGUUGUAAAGUACUUUCAGCGGGGAGGAAGGCGAUAAGGUUAAUAACCUUGUCGAUUGACGUUACCCGCAGAAGAAGCACCGGCUAACUCCGUGCCAGCAGCCGCGGUAAU